This is a long non-coding RNA of Parambassis ranga (Indian glassy fish), 870 nucleotides long. The record is from Ensembl. Lineage: Eukaryota; Metazoa; Chordata; Actinopteri; Ambassidae.
AUGAACUGGCAGACAACUGAAAACCAGAACCUCAGAACCUCACUCAGUUUCUUCCUGUGUCUGUCUGUGUCUCUGUCUGUGUGUCUCUGUGUGUGUCUCUCUGUGUGUCUCUCUGUGUGUCCCUGUCUGUCUGUGUCUCUGUGUGUGUCUCUGUGUGUGUCUCUGUGUGUCUCUGUCUGUCUGUGUCUCUGUGUGUGUCUCUGUGUGUGUCUCUCUGUGUGUCUCUCUGUGUGUCCCUGUCUGUCUGUGUCUCUGUGUGUGUCUCUGUGUGUCUCUGUGUGUCUCUGUGUGUGUCUCUGUGUGUGUCUCUCUGUGUGUCUCUCUGUGUGUCUCUCUGUGUCUCUGUAUGUGUCUCUGUGUGUGUCUCUCUGUGUCUCUGUGUGUGUCUCUGUCUGUCUGUGUCUCUGUCUGUGUCUCUGUGUGUGUCUCUGUGUGUGUCUCUGUGUGUGUCUGUGUGUGUCUCUGUGUGUGUCUCUGUGUGUGUCUGUGUGUCUCUGUGUGAACAGCUCCUCCUCAGAUCCCUCUCUUCAGUUGAACCCGGAGCAGCCCAGCAGCAGGACAGAGACUAAAACCAGUUUAAACUCUGGGGAGGCUGAAGAGCUUUUGUGCUCAGAUGACUGUAAUGUAAAUCUGGACAAGCCGGUUCUGAGGAAGUUUAAAGACGCCUUCCUACGCAGCCUGGCAGCCACACAGUGGGAGAAGAGGAGGAGGAGUAAACACCUCAGUCAGUCCAGGCUGUCCUCGUCUGAUGAUGUCAUAACUCCCAGCCCAGCAGCAGAGCAGGGCAGCAGUGCAGCAGCAGAGUCCCAGCCUGGUUCCAGCAGUUUGGACACAAACGGACACUCAGGGCUCCAGAAUGACCCAGGUUAG